UACGAACCGUCCAACCGUUACUCGGAAUCACUGGGCUUAAAGGGUGCGUAGGCCGCGCGGAGGGUGGGAUGUGAAAUCCCCCGGCUCAACCGGGGAAUAGCGUCCCAAACCGCCGUGCUCGAGGGAGACAGAGGUGAGCGGAACUGAUGGUGGAGCGGUGAAAUGCGUAGAUAUCAUUUGGAACGCCAAUGGUGAAAACAGGUAGCUGGGAGUGUGCUGACGCUGAGACACGAAAGCCAGGGGAGCAAACGGG
This 253-nucleotide ribosomal RNA is filed under the name uncultured bacterium. Its description in RNAcentral is "partial 16S ribosomal RNA". It matches the Rfam family "Bacterial small subunit ribosomal RNA", at positions 524 to 776 of the family's 1533-position model. The record is from RNAcentral.